AACUGCCCCGCCCGCCUGUCCGGUGACGCAGCCUUCAUCUGCUCAUUUCCCAGCGUGUUGUGUUUUUGCUUGGCGCGCACUCUCUCUGAUCUUGUCCUGGCGAGGGAGAAGUGUCUAGCGGUGUGCGGGAAGUUUCGGGCCUGCACUUCAUCCGAGUCGAUCUGUGUGACUGGCUGCUGACGACGAACAGCAGAGACCAGCGUUGUUGCACUGUAUCCUAUAUAUAUAUAUAUACACGUAUCCUAGAUUCUAUAGAGAAAGGGGGCGAAGGGGAAGUUGGUGGUGGCAUACGCAGCGGACGAAUCAGCGGCGGCGUACUCCUGCCCACGCCAUCAUUAGGUGCACCACCACACACACACACACACAAACAGACCUCCUUCCUUCCCACUCCCAUACAUUGCACACAUCGCGCAGGUCUGCUGGCGCAUCAAGCAGCCAUUCCUCGUCUUCGCUCCGCCUUACGUGGCCUUCGAGCUUCCUUUGUUGGUGUCUGUUUAGCGUCUCGGAUCAUCGCGAUUUGUCUUUUCAUCGUCGUUGUCCUCGCCACCGCCACGCCCUGUCUCCCCUCUUUCGUCAGUGUCUCAUCUCUGCGCCAUCUGGCCCUCGUCUUCGCAUCGGCGCUCCCUCUCCCUCUCACUUCCGCACCCUCACGCACACGCGGCGGCGGUAUCCCUCGAUCUGCUGUUCCGCUGCGCCUGCGUCCCUCGCGUGCGUUUCGCGUUGCUCUCCUCCGCCCUUUCCUCUGCUACAGACACAGAGAUCUGUCGAUUGCCCACGCAGACUGACAGACGCACAAGCAAAGACGGGAUAGGCUGCUGUCGCUGGGGCUGCAGCCCGUUGUUGCUGCCAUCUUUUACUCUGUUCCUCUCUCGCUGGCUACGCCACUCACCCCUUCCCCGCCCGAUCAGCCAUGAUGGACAUCACCAUCGGCUCGCCUUCGUCGUCUUAUCGCAGCCGCAGCCGCAGCAGUCGCGGCUAUACCCAGCGCCCUGACCUUGCUCGCGAUGCGGCUGGUAGCGGUGACAGCAGCGCUGCCGGCCAGGAGACGGAGCUGUUGACAGGUGCAGCGGGGCUGGACGACACAGACGGAGGCGAAGGCCACCACGCUCGUUGCAGCCCAGCAGACUCACAUGGCGGCUUUGAGGCAGACUAUAGUGACCUAGACCACAGGGCAGCGGGCGCGAGUCGAUCACCGCCUUCGUUAGGCGAGAGGGAGGAGACGUGCAGACCACCGCCGCCGAACACCAGCGCGGCACCGGCGCCGCAGCGCCACGUGGCCGACGAGCUCGUUCACGCUUUGCCGAACCGUGAGUCGAUGUCGCCGGCUCAGAUGGCACCGUCGUCGAUCCCGUUCUCAGCGCCGCUGCCGUCCUCUUCGUCAUCCGUGGCUGGCAGUGGCGGUGCGGCGCACCUGCCCCCUCGUCGUGCACCACAGCUGCUGCCACACGAUCGCCUGCACAGCCGCGUGGAGGGGAUGGCGUGGCUUUGCUCUGCAGCUGACCGUGAUCGGGCCCCGGCGCCGAUCCCACGGACGUCUGUCAGAACUUCAUGUGCCGCGGAAGAGCGCAAGUGCACCGAUGAUGCAGUGGGCGUGCGUGGACCCAGGUCCUCCUCGCUGGAGGCGCAGGCAAGAGCGAGUGAACCGACUGCCGUCGCCGCUGCCGCACCCGUCACAAGAUGGCCAGAGCGACAAGAGCAGGUGAUCCCCCGCGCCUUUGCCCGCACGGAGAGCCCGUCACCGCUGCGCCGCGCUGCGCAGACGGAGCUGGCAACCGGCAAUGCUGAGCGCAACGCCGCUACUGAGGCCUCUCCCGACACGGAAGUAUCCGGUGCCCGCUGUGGUCCGCUUAGGAAGCUCGCACUGCUCUCUUUUUGCAGUGAUGGCGGCCAGGAGGUGAUGGACCACCGGCCACGCUCUGAGCGCGCGUUACGGCUUGCACGCGUGAGCAACACGGUGACUCUGUCGUCGCCACCAGCGUUCUCGUCUACGUCCACCUCCGCUGUGCCGCUCCCUGGAUCGCCGCCGUUGUCAAGCGCCUCCUCCGCUUCCGUUCCAAUGCAACAGCAGCGGCUGCGACUGCCGUCACACUCGCCUGAAUCGGUGAGUUCCGCGUCCCUCUCGCGUGCGGUGGUACGGCGGGAGUCACUGAGCGGGGCGAGUGUGACAGCCGCGACGUCCUCCGACAGCUACGAUCGCGGCGAGGUCCAUGACCAUCAUUGCAGCCGUCGGCAACGGUCCGACUCCCGCUAUCGCGCCAUCGGCGACGUGGAUGACGACGAUGGCACCACCAGCAGCUCGCCCGGCCUCACCGAGACGAACGGCGCACGACCGCCGUCGCAUGCACCGGCGCCGCUUCACCCAUCCUCUUUCCUGACGCAGGCGCUGCCGCACGCGUGCCGGAGCUCGCAGAGCAGCAGCGACAGCGCCAAAGAGUGCCGCCCGGGCGAGGCGCAGCGGGCCGAUGCGGCGCGGCAGGCGCUCGACUCAUCGCAAGCAUCAUCACCGGCGCCGUCUCCACUAGCGUCGCGCUCUCCCUCGUUGAGCGCGCCGCCGUCCGCGCAGCUACCACCUCGGCGCACCGUCGAGGAGACUCGUAGGGAUAGCAGCAGCGAUGGGGACGGCAGCGGCGCGGCGCGGCGAAUUCCGCGUCACGGCACGUGCCCUGUCAUGACGGAGGUAGCUGAGUUGCAGCUUCCUCUAGCCGCACCAACGGAGGCCGCUGUGGGCUGCGGCGGUAGUGGUGCGGCGGCAGUCGCUGGCGAAAGCCCUCCACCGCUUCCACCGGCCCCGUGGGUAGCCGGCGAUGGCGCAUCGUCCCUCCACCCAAGUCGUCGUGGGAACGACCGCCACAGCAAGAGCAGUGCCACUGGCGCACACGGCGUCGUGCUCCAGGCUGCAGCUUCUGAGGCCGACAUGGCCAACGAAGCUCGUGCAGGCGACGACGUGGCGCGGGCGUCUCGUGAGCGUAGAGAGCUCCCCGCUACAGCUUCCCUCAGGGACGGCGUUGCUGCCGCUCUGGAGUUGGACGGAGCACGUCGUGGUGCCGCGCCACCAACUGAUGCUCCACGCCAUGUUAAGCCGCCGCCGCCGCCUCAACGGCGAGCGCUGGAUCGGUGGCGCAGUCAGGCAUCUCUAGUCGGCGGCCGCGCUGCUGACACCGCCGCACUCUCGUCUUCCUUGCGAGUCGUCACGCCUUCCUCGCGGGGCUCCGCCGCGGGGCAAGUGACUGAAUGUGGCGAUGGCCAUCCAUCCCAGUCAGCCCGCGAAUGUGGCGAAACGGGGAAAAGGCCGUUCAGGGGUGGCGUCAACGUUGCGCGUUGGGUGCGCGGCACUGUCGGCUGCGAGGCCGGCCUUUCCGGGGCCUCGCUGAUACCGCCGCCGGCCCGCAAAGCUGCUGAGGCGCGCGUGUGCGCACCUCCCACAAACUUCGGGAGCGCGAGCACAACUAACGCCUCAGGCGCCGCGGGCAACUUUUGUGGCAGCGAGCCACUCCGUGUGCUGGCGGCCCCGCUCGCCCCGCUCCCUCAUCGCACGCCGCCACGCGAGGCGGUGGCGCCCUCUGUCCUCGCUGAGGUGACGCAGAGCUGUGCAUCAGCAGCGCUUGUGUCGGGGAGGCAAGCUUAUCAAGGUGUGGCCGCGCUUUCGUGGACGCUGUCGUCGCGUUCGCGCGUGCGGCUGACGGUCAUCACAUCAUCGGCGCAGGAGCGCCGGGCGAACAAGGCUGAGGGUGAGUCGGCCGUGGGAGGCGCCGCGCAAGUCGACCCGCGUGAUCGGAGUAGCGGUGCCCGAUGGCGUGAAGCGGGCAGCGCUGACGAGGCUUUUCUUGUGCGCAGCGGCGACGCACGCCGCGGUGAAAUGGCUGCGGUGCCGCAGCACGCUCACCCGCUGCGGAGUUCCUCGAGUGGGCAGCGUGCAUCACGCCGAGGGCUCGCGGCGGUGUUGGCGCAACGGGCUGCCGCCAUGUGCAGCUCGGCGAGCAGCGCGGUGGUGGACGGCGCCGAUGAAGACGAGGAGACGCGAAUCGUAGCGCGCACGUGGCGGCCCGCCACGUGUCUCGAGUUUGUGCGCGACGAUGCCCGUCGGCGCAGCACCGGGGACGAUUGCCAGAGCAGCUGGGGCGCAGCUGGAGCGCAUCGUUGGGGGCAGGGGCCGCACCAUUCGCGAGCGACGCAGAGGUCGGCAGCAGUAGCCGGUGCGCCGUCCGGCGGUCAUCAAACAAGGACAGCCAAUCACCCUCACGACGGCUCACAUGGCCCUGUGCUGUCGAUCGAGGCAUCGCCCCUUGUCUCACCCGUAUCGUUGGCAGCCGAGGCGACCUCUGAUGUGGGUGCGAGCGCGCGCCAGGCGUGCUCUGCAGCUACGUGGCGGGCCGGUGCCGCCUCUAAUGGUGUUGGUGGAGGUGUUCUCUCAAGUACGACGUUGGUGCCUGGAUACGCUGCUGUGUACAGCCCUUGUAUGCUUGCCACACGGGUGCUGGAGGCGCGCAAGGCCCUCUUGGGAACCCCCAGCGCCGCUGUCCCCGCUGCAGCAACGAGCGUCUGUCCUCCCGGACCGUCUGGUGCACUACCUCUGCAUUGCGGCAGUCGCGCCAUGCCGGCGGUGGGGGCCACCGUUGCUGCUGCUGCUACCAGUGGUGGCGUGCCGUCGUGGUCUCCUUCUUCGCUGCUGAGCCCACCGCAGGCUUACAUUGACUUGAAGGAGCGAAACGCAGAUGAUGGCGUGGUGCCAGCGGCGGCGCCCGAUGCCGCGCCGUGGAGCCUCUACCUGAGCGGAUCGCCGGAUGCCGAGGAAUCGAUGCGGCACCGUGCAGCGCUGCCUCGGCAGCUAACACGAGGGCAACAGCACCUGCACGAGCAACCGGAAUUGCCAGCGGACAAGUCUCCCUAUCCGGUGGCGCGACGCAUCCCAUUCGGGUUCGCUGCCGGCACUCUUGCAGGGGCCACAUCUGCGCAAGCCGUAUUGCCUUCGCCUGACGAGCGCCUGCGAAGCUGUCACUCGAGGACGGCUUCACCGGCAGAGGACGCCUCUGCAUCAGUCCCCGGGGCGCACCUUCACGCCGAGGGUGGCUACCAGCGCGCGAGGAGGCUGCCCUGCCACACACCCGCCGAGGAACAACACAGCGUCACAGCUUCGGCGCCCAGCAGCCCAAUCGUGGCCCAAUCAGCGGCGGCGUCUGCUGCGGCUCCGUUAGGACGCAUGCCCACAACAUUAUCCCCCACCACCGCACCUUCCUCCGCUCCUCGUGCAAGUUCGGCGGAUACGGCGCAGGGCCGACACCGAAGCAUUCCGCCGCCGGAAUACCACGCCGUAAUCCAUGCUGCUGGCGCUGGAUCGCGGGCCAGUGAACGAGCGCGCUCGACAUCAAGGCGCUUCUGGAUAGCGGCAACGAAUGCCGACCAGAGCCACGAUGCGCUUGAUGUGCGCCAGAAGCGCCAGGCACACAUACUCGCCCAGCAGCGGCUCAUCCAAGAGGAGGCGUUCCGCCGUCGCUACAUCAGCAUGCAAGAGGAUCAUUGCUUUGCGGUUGAGGUGGCGGAGCUCAACUACCAGCGUGCCGUGGAAUACGUUCAUCAAGCGUCAGCCGCCGGCGCGGUCGCGACACCUGCUCGGCGGAGCGGCCACUGUGCUGCUCUCUUGACGGCCGGUUGCGACGCAGGGCCGCUGGUGGGUCUCCAGCGGGUACGGUGCGAUCAGGCAGCCAUGACGGCUACGCUGAGCACGCUUGCGAAGGAGCUGGCUGCACUGUCGCCGUAGCGCGAUGCGAGACGUAUCGAGCGCAUGCCAGUGGGGUGCUGGGCAACACUUGGCGGCGCGUGGCUCUUUCUCACUGGUUUGGGCACGCCCACGCUGUGGGUGUGUCGGUGUCUGCCCUGCCGCUCUCUCUCCUGAUCUCUCGUCCUGGCAACAAC
Molecule: unclassified non-coding RNA, 5910 nt
Filed under: Leishmania donovani
Lineage: Eukaryota; Euglenozoa; Kinetoplastea; Trypanosomatida; Trypanosomatidae
Description: gene:LdHU3.22.1100(CDS-product:5'a2rel-related_pr otein)
Source: RNAcentral